CCUCCUUGUAAACGGGGUUCUCAUCUGCGCCUGUCAAUCAAGGUACCAACAAGCAGGGUGUGUUUGCCACCUCUGCCCUCCCUGUGCAGAACAGUCGUCCCAAGCAACAAGUGUACUGUGUGUGGACACACAACUGCAGGCUUUUUACACAAGGUUAAGCAACAAGUUCACUAACAAGCAUUAAGAAUGUCCUAUGACAGGAUUUUGUGCAUCCAAAAUCUGAACGAGGCUUCAAAUCCUUGGAAGGGCUUCACUAUGAACCGCUGCCUUGUGGUGGCACUGGUCGUGCUGCUUGUGGGUGCAGGGGUCCAUCAAUUUCACAAUGCCGUUGACAUGGUUGUAGAAGAGACAGGGAUAAGGUCUUUCAUCGGAAGUAUUCAAGACGGUUCAAUAACUCAGAUCUCCUUGUGGGACAAGUUCAUGUCGUGGUGGGGAUCAGAAGAACUCGGAGCGAUAAGGAGACGGAAAAAGCCCAUGGGGAGUAAAGCGGUCCUGAAACCUAAAACGGCUAAACAAUGAUGCAUU
This is a long non-coding RNA of Syngnathus acus (greater pipefish), 525 nucleotides long. RefSeq lists it as uncharacterized. The transcript is spliced from 5 exons. NCBI's taxonomy places the organism in Eukaryota, Metazoa, Chordata, Actinopteri, Syngnathiformes, Syngnathidae. The record is from RefSeq and is a predicted model, not a curated record.